This is a long non-coding RNA of Mus musculus (house mouse), 34558 nucleotides long. RefSeq annotates it as predicted gene, 46027. NCBI's taxonomy places the organism in Eukaryota, Metazoa, Chordata, Mammalia, Rodentia, Muridae. The transcript has 2 exons. The record is from RefSeq and is a predicted model, not a curated record.
CCCUCCCUCCCUUCCUUCCUUCCUUCCUUCCUUCCUUCCUUUUUCUUCCCUGAACUAGGGAUUGAACCUAGGAAAACACAUUCUCCACCCCCCUCUUUCACCUCCCUCCCCUCCCUCCUUUGAGGGCUAAGUAAAGUUCUAACCCUGAGCUUUUUGUCCAGCCCUGUUUUUUCUUUAGCCAAAGACUUAUGAUGGCUAAUUCUGCUUGUCAGGUUGACUCUCCUGGGAAAAAGGAACCUUAACUGAAGACUUGCUUCCAUCAGAUUGGCCCGUGGGCAUUGCGUAUUGGGGGAGGGGCGUAUUUUAGAAUGCAAAUUGAUGUACGAGGGCCCAAUCCAUUGUGGAUGGUAGCAUUCUUGUGGCAGGUAGGCUUGGGCUGUAUAGAAAACAUAACUGAACAAGCUAGUGAGUGGUGUUCCUUCAUGGUUUCUGCUUCAGUCCCUGUUUUGAGUUCCUGCCCUGGCUUCCUUACUUUUGGGCAGUGUUUUAUCACAGCAACAGAGAAACACCCGAACAACAUUAAAGUGUACAUAGAAAAAGAGUGAAGUGAUAUGAGUAAAACAGGUCUGUUGUACAAGGUGUGCUCUGCCUUAGGAGAGAAAAGCACAGGAUCUAAUCCACUGUUUAGUAUUUCCCAAAACCAGAGUAGCCUCUGUGUAUUCUGUAAGUAGAAAUCAGAAGUAGGUACCAUGUCCGCCAGGAUGCUCAGAGAGUAAACAUUAUAUUUAGAGUUGAAGUCUAGGGAAUAUGAGAUUCAGAAAAGGGACUUUUGGUAGACCUGAUAAUGGAAUGUUCUGCUGGCCCCCUGUGGGGUCUAGAUACCGUCAGACAUGUUGAAAUAUGAUUUUUGCCACAUGGUAACAGACAAUAGAGUAAGUAGGCUAAUAUCCCCUCAAGAGACCCCGUCCUGGAGAAGAACAAAGCUAGACCUGAUUUGUUUUGUAUCUUAUUUAAGUAGAGUAUUGGCAAAACCUUAACAGAGAAAGCUGAUGACUUAUGCUGUCUACUUCUUUACAAUGUGACAGGUACUUUCUGGUUCUUUGAAUAGCAUGAAACACCAGGCCUCUAAAGUUGACAGUGUUAGGAAAGCCCCUGCUUGGAAAAGCCUGGCUUGACCUCAGGGCUUCAGUUCCAUUUCUUCAGUGAUCUUGUAGAGUAACACAUUCUUUAAUUCUGUCUCCCUGAAUCACAUAAUCUUCCCUAUAUUUUCUGAGGCAGUGCUGAAGCAAGGCUGGGACACUGAAAUGCGAUUUUCUAAAUGGUAAAACAAGGGUAAUGCUGCUCGAGAAUACCUUUCAAGUAGUUUCCUAGUUUGCUAGGUCUAGCUUUGCUCCUUUCUAGGAUGGGGUCUUUUAAGGGGAUAUUAGCCUACUUACUCUAUUGUCUGUUACCAUAUGGCAAAAGUCAUACUUCAACAUGUCUGAUGGUAUCUAGACCCCACAUGGGGCCAGCAGAACAUUCCAUUAUUUUCAGGUCUAUCUAAGGUCCCUUUUCUGGAUCUUCUAUUUCUGGUCCUAUUCUGGUUUUUGAAUAGUUGUUGUUAGACGUAUUCCUGAAGAGAGAUUUCAUUCCCUACUCUUUCUGCAGUCCCUGGGAUUGAACCAGGGCCUUGUGCAUGCCAGGCAAGAGCUUUGUCACUGAGCUGUACCUCCAGCCCCGAUUCCUUACUCUUAACAGUACCAGCUGGGAUAUCGGAAAGUUAACACUAAAAGGGACUCACAAAUACAGUGGGAUGGGAUGGGACAGCUUUGUUUUUGUACCUGUUUGCCACCCAUUGUCCCAACACUGAGAAAACUCUGGUGUUCUCUGGCAGCAUGCUCACAACUUCCAUGUGCAGAUCACAGUUCAGCUGAACAAUCGUAAUGUUUCCUACUUUAAAAGGAAAAAUAAGCUUUAUGAAACUGUGAAUUUACAUUUAUUUUUAACUGAUUUAAUCUUUUCUGUUUUAAUUUUAAUCUGAAAAAAUAAUGAUACCAUUUUAUUACUCUGUAUGCAUGAAAUUAGUUGAUGAAGUUUUAAAAAACAGUAGCUUGAAUCUAGAAGCAUCUAGAUUGUGGACUGAUUGGUUUGUGUAGCUAAAUUGCAAUGGUUUUUGGAAAGCUGAUAUAUCUUUUCUGCUUUACUCCUGUAAAGCAGGGGAAAAAAAUGCAUGUUUUUUUUUUCUUCUCUUUUUUUGCUUAAAAAAGUUUAAGCAAAAAUUAAGCAGAAUAGUUAGGCCAAAACAAAGCAUUCUUUUAUUUUCAUAGUGCACAGAUUUAUUGUAGGGGCUAUUUUAAAUGUAUAAUUCUACACUUCAUCUUAUCCAAAAGGUUCAGAAGCAAUGUUAAAUAUAUAAUUCUGAUGAAAUAGUAUGAUAAAGUCACUGUUUACCAGGGAUUGUUUGUACUUGUGGUCAUGAGGUUUGAAACUAUUGAAGACAUUGUUAAGAGACUCAGAGAAGUUGUAUGAAUAGUUGAUAAUGGUCGGUAAGUAAGCCUCAGCUGGAGCCUUGCUGUCCUUCUAAGGAGUCAAGAUUGCACACCCUGGUUUUGCUAGAAUCGUUGCCUUUUUUUAUUUUUUUUAUUUUUUAUUUUUUUUAUGGUCAUGGCUAUCCCAGUGGAGAUAGAGAGCAGUAUACAUUGUACCUGCUGACAUUUUAAAAGAUCUUUUCUGAGAUUUUUGUGUACAUUCAUAUAUAUGUAAACUCAAAUAUAUAUGCUUGUACAUAUAUACAUUUGUAUGUACAUAUAUGUGUAUUUUUACUUCUUAUAAAACAAGGUCAUAGAAUCUGCUCCUUUAUGCAGUCUAUACUCACUGCAUACUUAAUACCUACUUUUGAUAUUGUAUAUAUUAUACAACAGCAUUAAGUUUUAUUAGCUAAGUGUCUGAUUAUCAUUUAAAAGGUAGAAAGUAGCCGGGUGGUGGUAGUGCAUGCCUUUAAUCUCAGCACUCGGUAGGCAGAGUUAGGUGGAUUUCUGAGUUCGAGGCCAGUCUGGUCUACAAAGUGAGUUCCAGGACAGCCAAGGCUACACAGAGAAACCCUGUCUUGAAAAACCAAAGCCAACCAACCAACCAACUAACCAACCAACCAAACAACAACAAAAAAGAUAGGAAGUUUAGGUCUAAUGAAGUUGAAAAUGUGGGGUAAACCCAUGUGGUCUGAGUUUGAUUUCUAGUUUUGUCUCUAAAUACUGCUGGCCUUAGACAGGUUAGCUAAUUGUUUUGUUUCUGCAUCUACAAAAUGAGGUAAUAGUGACUAUUAGUAUUUACGUCCUAGAUUUGCUGUAAAGAAUAGUGAGUUAAUUUUUGUAAGUUCUUAAAACCAUGUCUGUAGCACAAUUAUAGUGUAAGUAUUCAUUCAUAGAAGUGGAACUGCUAGGUCAAAUGAUAAGUGUUUCACAUGGAAAUCAAUGUUUAUGCCUAGCAUUGCUGGUUUAUGGAGCUUGUAUGUGGCCUCAGGCAGUGUUAGCCCUUGUUGUAUAGUGCUGUCCUCUGACCACAACAGAUAGCUGUUUUUAUCAGAGCAUAUAUGACUACUAAGACCCCUAAGAUCAGUCUUCUUGACUGUUGAGGUUCUCUCAGAGGACAUGGAAAAGAUGGUGCGGGUCACUGGGGCCUUCCAGAGAUUCUUGCUGUUCACUUCUGCAUAUUGCAGUAGUGAUAUGUGAUUCUACCCUAAUUGCAUGGUAUAUUCUGAAGUGCAAGUGUGUAUGUAUAUAAAUAUAGAGACUAUGUAAGGUUAACUGAAGGUGGAAUUCCUUCUGUGUAGCUAUGGGGUAAGACUUUUGGCAUUGUUGGCUGCUUUAGGGUCACCCAUGCUUUCUGUAAGUCAGCUCAAUAAACCCAAGUGUUCUUCAAGUUGGACUUUGGUGGAGUAAUACUUCGGUUUGUCAUUGGUGCUCUAUAACGGGGGGGGGGGGGUUGACAUCUCUUUGCCUCCCCAGAGAAAGAAUUCUUGCAACAAAUGCUAAGGAUGGUUAUUUCCAUCCUUAGGUUUCUUCUUUUGGAACAAGCAAAGACUCUUUCUUUGUACUGGCAUGGCAGUAAUACUAGGAUGAGACUGCCAAGGAAUAUUCUCCCUGAUACAUUUCAGGACUCUGAAUAAUUACAGAACCUAAGUCAGAAUGAAAAUGGACACAGAUUUUUGGAAAUAUCUUUUAUACAUUUAGUUCCAGCUGUGUCUGAAAACCAAAAGAAUAUUUUCAAUAGUUUUUAGGUCUACACUAAAAUAUCAUCCAGAAAGAUUAUGCUAAUUUAGCAGUAUAGGAAUAUGCCUAUUUUCUUUGUGGAAAUUUUAAUUAGGCAAACAAAACCUACCACUUAAUAGGAGCUAGUGGGUAAGCAGUAGCAUAGAAAACUUGGAUUUCAUAAAGUGGAGGACAAUAAGUGUUUGGUUCAAGAUCAGACUUUAUAUUUAAUUCAUAUUUAUGUUGGAAACAUUAAAAAAUCAGUAUUUGCAGUCGGGUGGUGGUGGCGGCGGCACACACCUUCACAUCCAUUACUUGGCAGGGCAGAGGUGGGCAGAUCUCUAUGAAUUUGAGGCCAGCCUGGGCUACACAGAGAAACCCUGCCUCGAAAAAUGGUUUUUGCCUUUGGUCUUCGUUGUAAUCCAAAGGGCUUUUGUAAACAGAAAUAUGAAUUAUGAAAAAGUCAAAGUCUUGGCCUAAUUUAUUUAGAUUGCAAGAGAGGACAUGGUCCAGAUAUAUCCCAGUAUUUUCUGACUAAAGAAAUUCGAGAAUUGGAAAAAAAAAAACAGUUCUUUCAACAGAGUUCCUGUUAUUAUUUUAGCAGACUGAUUAUUGAGUAGAUAGUUGUAGACCUUUCUUUUCAGUGGUUUGUUUAACAGAUUAACAGACAGAAUUUUUAUCUUCCCUGGUGAAGAAAUGCUUGUUUCCACUGAAGAGACUAUUACACACAUGCCAGGUUUUCCUUUGAUCUGUGCUUGGUUGCUCUUUCUGUACUUUAUUAGUUGACAAGGUUAAUUAGUUGAUUUAAAGAAAACAUAGCUUGUUUGUAAACUUGAAAUCUCAAGUAACUUCUCUUCCUGCCAAAUAUUCUAUUAUAAUAUUCACUUAAAAUACAGAGUUAAAAUUUGUAAUGAAAAAUUAAAGAAAAUGAAUAGUUUCAGAGAAAAUUUUCAAGUGAAAAAAACAAAACAAAACAAAACAAAACCCACCCUGCUUGUAGGCAGUGAUGUCUCGUUGCAGGUGCAGUGCAUCUUUUGUAUUCUCAGCCAGAGCUAAAUGUUAGUAACAUUCAGAGAGAACUCGAGUUUCAGAGCAAACUUGGAAAAUAACAGUGAGAGUGGAAAGUAGCAGUUAGGACUGGAGUGGAUUUUAUGGAUGCUUUAUGUAAUUGUCCCACAUGGUCUGCUCUGGAAUUUGAAAAGAAUGUUACUUGUUUUCAUCUUGAGACAGAUGUUCCACCAAAUGAUUUUAGCUCAAGUCAACACAAACCCAUAGAAUGUUAGAGGUAGUAAAACUUUUUCUCUUUUGAAAUAAGAAGAAACAACAAAAUUUGGUUAAAAUAGUGAAAAACAGGAAUUUUGGAAAUACAAGUUAGUUAUUGCCAAAUACAACAGCAACAAAAACUGUAUUCCCAGAAUGCUGUCUCAUAUUCAAAUUGCAUGUCUGAGGAAUUUGACUGUAGAAAACGGAAGAACAUGUGAAGAGUAAAUAUAGCAUUGGGUUAAGUUGUCACAAUGUGCAUUAGAUUACAGAAUAUCCAUUUUUUUAGUCUUCUUUAAAUGUGUGAAAGAUGGACUGCAUAGUUCCAACUAGAAAUGCACAGUAUCAGAUACUGUAUAGACUAACUGGUCUAAGUUAAUUACAAUUUUACAACCACUAUGUAGGUGAAGAUAAUGAGACUUGAAACCAUUAAGUAACUUGCUCAAGAUUUUAUAGCUGGUACUGGUGAUAUCAAUAACAGCUCCUGCAGCUCACCCCACCAAGACUCGUGUUCACACUCAUCCCUGUUGCUAUCUUCCCAUGGGCAGUCAAGGUUCUGACUUUCUUCCUGCCACAUAACUGAUUUUACUCAUCCUGGACUAUAACAUCAAAGGAAUCACAUGACAUAUACUUGUUUUUUUUGCAAGAUUUCUUUCACUCAACUUCCCCCUUUUCUAUAUAUCUAUUUUUAUUAGAAUUUUGUCUUUGCUUCUUUUGUGUUAUUUUAUUGUAUGAAUAAGCGAGUUUUGCUUAUCCAUUUUUUGACAGACAACUGAAAUGCUAUAGUGACUAUUUGGCAUUUUGUUUUCUUUUAAAAAACACAGGGGUCUGGAGAGAAGGCUCAGACUGCUGACUGCUCUUCCGGAGAUCCUGAGUUCUCAGCAACCAUCAUCGCUAAUGGGAUCCAGUGCCCUCUAUUGAGGGCCCGAAGAGACUGUGAGUUGUUGGUUAGUUGCUGUUGGUCACUGUUGGUUGCAGUUUGUUAAGUAGCCGUGAACAAAGAAGAAAGAAGAAGAAAUUAGAUAUCCUGACUGGGAAGAUCAAACUUGGCCCAAGGAACUUGAGGCACCUAACCAGCAGGAAGAAGUCUGAUGAUAAUGUCACCCCCUUUCCUUUUUGUGUUAGGGGAUCGAUAGGGUGGGGAAUGGUGAAAGAAAGAAAAGCCCUCAAAGUAGCAAAAAACUGGUUAUAAACUGCUUUUAGUAUUUGGCUAAAAUGAAUUUUAAAAUCUUGCUUUUUUAAAAAAAAAGAUUUAUUUAUUUAUUAUUAUAUGCAAGUACACUGUAGCUGUCUUCAGACACCCCAGAAGAGGAUGUCAGAUCUCAGUAUGGAUGGUUGUGAGCCACCAUCUGGUUGCUGAAAUUUGAACUCGGGACCUUCAGAAGAGCAGUCAGUGCUCUUAACCGCUGAGCUAUCUCUCCAGUCCUAAAAUCUUGCUUUUAAUAUUUUUACUGUGAAACAAAAAGUUUUCAAUUUCUCCUGAGUAACUUGUCCAUUGAAUUUCUGGUCUUAGGCCACUGUAGGUUUCUUUUGAUAAGAAAUGGCCAUGUCUUUCCCAGAGUAGUUAUAUACCAUUUUAUACAGUAUAUAAUAAGAGUUGUAACAACAGUAUCAUCUCAUCAGAAUAUGGUUAAUAGUCUUUAGCAAUUCUGAAAUGCACACUAGCAUCUCAUUUGCUUUUAAAUUUCUAGAUUUCUCUUAUGGUUAAUUGUAUUGGUAAUUUGUAAGACUUGAUUGCCAUUUUAUUACGGAAUUGUUACUUUGUAAGUGGUACUCCCCAAAUAUUGGUUGUUUUCUCCCGUAUCAAAGUGUUCCUUAGUGUUCAGAAAAUUAACUUCUCAAAGAUGCAUAAUAAUUUAGUCUUAUUGAAACAACAAUAAUGUAGAUUAACUUUAUUAGCACAUAAUGGGUGAUUGGGGCAUAUUAGUUAAGAAAUUGUGGACUUUAAAAUUUUUAUAAGAUUUCUAAAGUUGAACUAAUUUUUUUCUUUUUGCUGUCAAGUAGAAUUUGAGUUAUUCCAAUGAAAAGAGGAUAAAACAUAAUUUACAAAAAUAAUGUCUUUAAUUCCGUUCCCGGGGGAUAUGAUGCCUUCUUGCCUCAGUGGAAAUUGAACUUACAAGUAUGCAUAAGCACACAACAGGCACACAAACACAUAGUUAAAAAUAAAAUCAGUCUUUGAAAGAUAAUGAUAAAUUAUCCUUAUUAGGUAAAUAACUAUUUGUAUAUAUGGAGUAAAUUUAGUAUGAAUUGGAUAUUUUUAGAGUUAAAAGCAGAAGUGCUAAUAUGAUUACUUGUCUGCGGUAUUGAAAUUAUUAUUAAAAGGCUUUUAUGGAAGCUACCUGCUUUGUAUUUCUUUUUUGUUUGUUUGUUUUGUUUGUUUGUUUGUUGUUUUUUUCGAGACAGGGUUUCUCUGUAUAGCCCUGGCUGUCCUGGAACUCACUCUGUAGACCAGGCUGGCCUUGAACUCAGAAAUUCGCCUGCCUCUGCCUCCCGAGUGCUGGGAUCAAAGGCGUGCGACACCACGCCCGGCUGUAUUUCUUGUUACUAUAAAAGGUCUGUAUAUUCCAAAUAUAAUCAUCUUAGAAUAAAUAAUUUCUUAUUUUAUAAAGGUUUAGCUUUUCUUUAAAAUUAUUUAUGUUGUGUGAGCUCUAGUUGCUUACUAUAUACUAAAUAUUCUACCAUUGAACUGUAUCCCCAGCCCUAAUGAGCUCAUGAUCACAGGUAUUUCAUUGAUGACUGUUUUAAGAAACAUUACAUUAGUGUGUGGCAUAAAUGUUCUUCUGGGAAGGGAAGGGAGGUAGGAUUAGUUAAUGUUACAAAGUACAUCUGGCUGUCAUUGACAGUGUACUAUGCUUGUUGAAACCUGGGCCCUCCCCUCAUGCCAAUUUGGCUUGAAUUCCACCUGUGCUGUUUAUUACGCAUGAUAAUGGGUGAGAACUUAUCCUUUCAAAGCUUCAGUUUGCCAAUCUGUGGACUUUUCUGUCAAGAGCUUUAGCUCAGAGCCUGACAUGACAGAUAAUUUUAAAACAGUAUGAAUUUCUGCUAGAAAUUUGUUCCUCCUGGAAAAUGUUUGGGUGUAGCAGGGCAUUAUUCUGUAACAGGAAGUCUUCUCUUAUGUGUCAGACUUUAUCUUAAGAUGAAUAUGGAAUAAAUAUGAGGCCAAAGAAGAAUCUGAGUUAAGAGUAUGAUUUGGUUGGUGGAUGGGAGCCCAUUAUAUUUUCUUUUGUUUCAAAUUAUAAUUUAAAUUAUUUGUUAGAGCAAAUGAUAUGCCAUGAAAAUAUGCCAGAAACAUAUACCCUUAUAAUUAUUAUCUCUAAUAUAUAUUGUUUUUUAAUUAAUACAAUAUCUUAUUGUGGUAUUUUCAUAUAUAAUUUGUUUCUGUUAGACUUCUCCCACUUUUCUCAUUUGUCUCCCCUUUUAUCCCUGUACCUUUACUGUUUGGGAUCUGCUGUUAGAGUUUAUGGGUGUGGGGUGACAAUAGAAGAUUAUGCUCUAGAGUGAGUUGGCUAGAGUUUUAAGCCUUUUAUCUAAUAAUAUUUGUUUUGUAAUCCAAAUAUAUAUGUGGAUAAACUUUGAGACUGAGCUACAACCAUAGUCCAUCUCUGAAAAAUGCAGUUACAAGAUCUUGUAUCAGUUGUUACGUUCUGCCAGUUCUUCAUGCAUUGUAUGCUUUUUUUUUUUUUUGACAUGUUCUCUUGGUGGUCUUAGAACAUGUCAAGAAGACUACUGACUGUCUAGUAUGUAAGUCCUAGGGCUUCUUUCUCUGCCUCCUCAGCACUGGAUUAUAAAUGCAUGCCACUAUGCCAGGCUUUUAAAAAAGUACAGGUUCUGGGCAUUGAACUCGGGCCCUGGUAUGUUUACUUUUUAGACAGGGUCUUACUAUGUAUCCCUUGCUGAUUUGGAACUCACCAUGUGGACCAACCAGGCUGGCCUUAAACUCUCAGAGAUUUGCCUGCCUCUGAGCAUUAUGUCAUGCUGGUUUUGAUACUGUUAAGAGAAGCUCUUUACCUGGUAAGCAAGUUAUCUCCCUAGUUCUUUGUUAAUAGGUCCUCUCUGUUUAGUCCCAGGACCAUGAUAGGGACCACCACCAAUGAUGUAUAAGUAAUCCAGUUGCUUUUAAAUUGGCCUGAUUCAAGAACUCUUACAAAAUAAGUUAACUUUGAUCAUCUUUAGAGAAGUUGAGUGCCAGCAUGCAGAGAAGGCAGUAAGCCAACACCACAGAACAGUAGAAACCCUGUAGUAGAGAGAGCAGUCAUGUUAGAAAGUCAAACAUGACUGCUGUCAGGAAGCUGUGACAAGGAUCAGCUAAUGUUUCUAUUGGAAGACUAGAUUUCUUUUUUUUUUUAAAGAUUUAUUUAUUGUUAUAUGUAAGUACACUGUAGCUGUCUUCAGACAGACCAGAGAACAGAGAAGGGUGUCAGAUCUCAUUACAGAUGGUUGUGAGCCACCAUGUGGUUGCUGGGAUUUGAACUCAGGACCUUUGGAAAAGCAGUCAGUGCUCUUAACUGCUGAGCCGUCUCUCCAGCCCCUAGAUUUCUUUUAUCCUGACGAAUUUUCCUAUUCAGUGACACUUAGUUAUGGCGACCAUGUAUCUCAGGGUUUCUUUGCUGUGAAGGGGCAACAUGAUCAAGGCAACUAUUAUAAAGGAAAACAUUUAAUUGGGGCUGGCUUACAGAGGUUCAGUCCAUUAUCAUCAUGGCGGGAAGCAUGGCAGCAUGCAGGUAGACUUGGUGCUGGAAGAGCUGGUUCUACAUCUUGGUCCACAGGCAGCAGAAGGGAACUGCCUCACUGGGUGGAGCUUGAGCUUAGGAGCCCUCAAAGCCCACCUACACAGUGCCUGCUCCACACCUACUCCAAUAAGGCCACACCGCCUAAUAGUGCCACUCCAUAUUACCAUGCAUUGAAAUGAAACACAUGAAUCUGUGAGGGCCAAACCUAUUCAAACCACCACACCAUGACAGACACUCCUUUACAUAUUCUUCACCUUUUUUUUUUUUUUUUUGUGGGCAGGCUGGAACCCAGGCCAAUGUAUCUCCUAGGCAAGUGCUCUAACACUGACUUAUAAAACCUACUGUUAGGUUUUUAUACAGUAGCAUGUAACUGUGCAUGUAGCUCUUAGCAAUUGGAAGUAACUCAUCCUGCAUAUUACUAAUAAUUCAUUUCUUUAAUUUCAAAAAAUCUCUUAGUUGACAAGAUUGGGCUAACUGAAUAGGCUAUAUGGGACUAGCUGGGACUUUGCUUUGUGGCAUUGUUGACCUGGGCAUGACUGAAGUCUGUCUUUCUUUCUUUCUUUCUUUCUUUCUUUCUUUCUUUCUUUCUUUCUUUUUAUGUAAUCACUUCAUAAUUGGAGUAAAGAGAGCUGUGUUGUCACCUAUUAGCUAUGUAUGAUCUUCAUUUGUGGGUCACAUUUUUCAUUUUGUAAUUUGAAUUAGUUAGGUUAGAUGUAGUAAAGUUACACUGUGUAUCAUUGUCGUAAGCAUUCAGGAGUAGUAAGGGAUGGUAGUAAAUCUGAAGAGAUGAGAGACUACACAUAGUCUGUGUAAAUGCUGACUUACUGACACUGCUCUGCUAGGAAAGCUGAUAAUGCUCAGUGUUGGUGAAUUCAUGACAAAGGCAUGUUUGCAGGACAUGUCUUCACAAAUGGAAUUUUAACUGACUUGUUUUUGUGACCAUGUUUUCCUGUCUUUUUCUGAAAUGUUUACAUUUCAAAUAUUUAUAAGCAUUUCCUCCAUAGAGCUGGACAGAUUUUUAAAAAAGAUUUAUUUAUUUAUUUAUUUAUUAUAUGUAAGUACACUGUUGCUGUCUUCAGACACUCCAGAAGAGGGAGUCAGAUCUUGUUGGUUGUGAGCCACCAUGUGGUUGCUGGGAUUUGAACACUGGACCUUCGGAAGAGCAGUCAGGUGCUCUUACCCACUGAGCCAUCUCACCAGCCCCAGAUUUAUUUUUUAAUUCAUUGUUUAAAAAAGAUUUUAUUUUUUUAAAUGUAUGUGAGUACACUGUCGCUGUCCUCAGACAUACCAGAAGAGGGCAUCAGAUCUUAUUACAUAUGUUUGUGAGUCACUAUAUGGUUGUUGGUAAUUGAACUCAGGACCUCUGGAAGAGCAGUUAGUGCUCUUAACCACUGAGCCAUCUCUCUAGCCCUUUAAUUCAUUUUGAAUCGACACAUAAAAAUUACAUUUAUCAAGUACAAUAUGAUAUUCUGAAAUGUGUCAUGUUGUAGAAUGGCUAAAUCAUGAUGCUUAACAUAUAUAUUACUUCACUUACCUUUUUUUUUGGUGGUGAGGACACUUAAAAUCUAUCAUUUCAAUGAUAUAAUCAAUUUUUAUUUAAAAGACUAGAGAGAUUGCUUAACAGUUAAGAAUUCAUUCUACUGUUUCAAAGAUUCUCAGUACCCAUGUUCGUGGCUUACUGCCUCUUGUAACUCUGGUUCCAGAGGAUCCAAUGGCUUCAUUAGGUACCCACACACACGUGCACAAACCUACACACACUUUUUUUUUCUCUCUCUCUCUCUUAAAAAUAAGAUAAAUCUUUAAAUUUUUAUUGCUUUUUUUCUUUGAUAAUUUUAUUUAUGUACAUACUAAAUUUGGGCAUCUUAACCCUUCUGCUAUCUUAUCUUCCAACUUCCUCUGAACCUUUGUUUUCAAUAAGCGUCUUCCCAUCUUGAUGUCUUUUCUUGUUUCUGACCCACUGAGUUAAUUAUGGUUGCUUCCAUAAACAUAGAUUAGAGUUAUUUCCUGGAACAUAGGCAAGUCAUAAGUGACUGAAAAAAAAAAUGACACCCUUUCCCCAGCCAGAGUUAAUGGCCAUUGUCUCUCACUGAUGGGUGAAGAGAUUUCUGGAGCCCCUUCCCAGUGCAUGCUGAAUGAUGAUACAGGUAAGCACAGUAGCCGUGAGUUUCUGAGUGUAAUGGCUGCAUCAUGUCAGAAGGCACUGUUUCACAGCAGGCCUCCCUAGCUGCUGUCUCUAUGACGUUCCUGAGACUUGAACGCAGUGAUCUACAUACACCUUUUAUUGUCAGGCACUCGACACUUGACUUAUUCUCUGUACUUGGCACUAACAGCUGUCUACUGUAAAAUGUUUCUAUGAUGAAGCUGAGAGCAAGUCUAUGGAUAUAGACACAUAUUUCAGAGGCAGUUUGAUACCAUGUCCAUUUAGCAAAAUUACAGUAAGUAGGUUGUCCUUAGAGCCUGUGACUUUUCCAGUCAUGGGCUUUUCAUCAGAUUCAAAGUAUCAGAAAUGAAUUAUUUUAUGUGGAGCAGACCUCAGAAAGGAAUCCCACCCACUUCAAUAGUAUUUUAUUUUAUUUUAUUUUAUUUUUAUGGUAGGCUGGGCUUGAACUUUUUAUGUAGAAUGAUCUUGAACUCUUGGUUCUCCCACCUUAUCCUUCCAAAUGUCAGGAUUACAGGCAUGUACCACCACACUUGGCCUCCUUCAGCGACUUUCAAAUAUAUAGUACAUUGUUUUAACUCAAGAAGACAUGAUAUACAAUGAAUUUGUUAAACGUUUUCUCUUUCAUUUGACCAACAUGUCAAUACCUCCUACUUCUCAGUCUUCAUUAAUCAUCCUUUUAUUUUCUGCUUCUCUGAACUCAUCCUUUUCUAUAUGAGUACAUUUAUAGUAUUUUUCUUUCUGGGCCUAGCCUAUUUCAUUUCACAUAGCUACCAGAUUGAUCUCCAUUGUUGUUCAUGAGGAUUUCCUUCUUUUUAAAAGACAAAUUUAAUUCCAGCCCACCUCCCACCACUGCUGUCUUCUGCUCAUUUGUUGGUGGGCACUUAGGUUGGUCCCCUCCCGCCGCUGUGGUGAGUAUGGCGAGGUGGAAAUGAGAGUGAGAUAGUCUUCAUUUCCUUUAGAUCCACACUCACUGGCUGCAUUGGUGAGUCAUAGUGUAUUUAUUUUUAUUUCUGGUUGUUUUUUGUAUUGGUAGGGGUUGACCAGGGCUUCCUGUGUUCCAGGGCAAGUGAUGUUCUCCAAAGUUGUUUCCUCAGUCCUAUUAUUUUUUAUUUUUUGAGAAACUGAAAUUGUUUUUAUUGUCUAUCUAUAAAAAGUUCCCAAAUUAUCUUGCUUCAAUCCCAUUUUUGAACUUAAAAAUUUCUCUUGGAAACAUAAAAUGCCUGGUUUCAGGGCAUUUCUUAUAUUGGAUCCUGUUCCUCUGUGUCCAAAAGAGAUGAUUGUGGCUUAUUUAGGAAAAAGAAUCUCAAGUCAUACAUGUAAAAUAAUUAUAGUUGUAAAACCAAAGUUAAAAUAGAGUAAAGAUAGACCACCUAAAUAGAUUUUUGUGUUCAAUGAUUAAAUGAUAGGAUCACGUUUUUUUCUAUUUGGCAAAUUCUAUGUAAGUUUUGUAAUUCUAUAUGUUAUGUACUUACAUGUUUUAUUUGUAAAUUUAAAGAUCUGAUAGUCACAGUCAGCUAUUGGAUGGGUCACACGGCCCCCAAUGGAGGAGCUAGAGAAAUUACCCAAAGAGCUAAAGGGAACUGCAACCCUAUAGGUGGAACAACAAUAUGAACUAACCAGUAACCCGGAGCUCUUGUCUCUAGCUGCAUAUGUAUCAAAAGAUGGCCUAGUCGGCCAUCACUGCAAAGAGAGGCCCAUUGGACUUGCAAACUUUAUAUGCCCCAGUACAGGUGAACCCCAGGGCCAAAAAGGGGGAGUGGGUGGGUAGGGGAUUGGGGGUGGGUGGGUAUGGGGGGACUUUGGGAUAGCAUUGAAAAUGUAAACGAGGAAAAUACCUAAUUAAAAAAAAGAAAAAGGAAAAAAUAAAAAUAAAGAUCUGAUAGAAGCAGUGUUAGGAUAACUUCAAAAUGAAGCCUAUGAGGUAUUGAAUUGUAUUGAGUUUAUAGUAGUGUGUGUGUAUGUGUGUGUGUGUGUGUGUGUGUAUAUAUAUAUAUAUACACAUACAUAUAUACAUAUAUAUACAUAUAUACACACAUAUAUACAUAUACAUAUAUAUGUAUAUAUAUAUAUGUUUAUAUUGCAAGGUAUGACAAGGUCCUGGAUUCAGUUCCCAGCAUGACAUGCACAAGAGAGAUGUCUAUUUUAGAAACAAAGAGUGUAGUUUUUAGAAUUAAUUUUCUGAUACUUUAAAAAAUGUUUGAAGAAAAUAACACCUAAAACAUGACCAAGUAUUAUCUGUGAGCUGGUAAAGGUAGAUAUUGAAAGGAUCUACAAACGGCCAGGGACAGCCAUAGUAACUUGUCAGAGAGAAGAGGCACACAAGAGAAUAGGGUGCAGGAGACCAGAGUCUGGACUGAAGCUUGGUAGCAAAAAUAACAGAAAAAAGGAAGGCACCUGUCUUUGGACAAAUGUGCCCUGGCGGAUGUUGGGAAAGUGGAGCCUUUCUACUUCUGUUUGCUUUGGUUUCUCUUUUAUGAGAAUUAGACUAAACGGAGUAAAAACUUAAUCUUUUAGUUAUUGCAUGUACUAGUUGCAUAUGUUUUUCUUGUUCAUUGCAUAAAAAUUUUAUUAAUGCAAACCAGUUAAAAACAUGACACUAAUGCCCAGUUGCUUUGUCUUUUUCUUGGGACUGUGUUUGUUUUGGAAGUUCUGUUGCAAUAAAUGUAGAUCUUUUAGGAACCUUUAUUAAAUGAUAGCAUGUAUAGCGAAAAGUAUACAAACUGCACAGCCCAGAAAUGAUGUCAAAAUGCAGACACUGUGCAGUCAUCUCUUGGGUUAAGAAGUAGAUCAUUAUCAAGUAUUCUACAAGCUUUCAUUAUGCUCCAUUCCAAUGGUAAACAUUUAGCCUCUCUAAAGAUACAGGGUGGAAAGUGAUUUUACCACAGUGACAGGAUUAGCUAUUCUAUAUUUAUAGAUAAUUAUUAAUAAUGAAUUCUUGAAUACAUUAAUGAAAUUCCAAGAAUAGGCAUGCACAUCUCCUUAGAUUUUGAAUCGAGUCUUACUGCUGCUUCAGCUCAGAGCAGUGUCAGAAAGUGAUAUGGAAGUGAAAGUAUGAUAAAGUACUAGAGAGGAGCCAAGAGAAAGUUAAACUGAUGGGUUGGCCUGUUUCUCCUUUCCAACAGAAAUCUACUUCUGUAGAGCUUCCUUGUGACCAAUUUUAAAGCCAGUGAAGUAAGAGAAAAUUAUGUUUUUGUUCUAGGCCGAGACAUCUAAGAGAGAUUAUCCCACCAUAUUCUUUCUUUCACUAACCUGUAGCUACACAUUUUACUUUUUUCUCCAGCCAACACAGCAGGUGGUUCCUUCUGUUCUACAGAUGUAAUGAGCGAUAGAGGAUGGUUCCUUUCAGAUGACAUUUGAAUAAAAUAAGUAGGGGACUUUGAUUUCCAAGAAUUUUGAAGAUGGAUAUAUAGUAACUGUACAUAUUCAUGGGGUAAAAUAUGUUGUUUUCUUUUGUUGUUUUUUUUUUUGAGACAGGGGUUCUCUGUGAAACCCUGGCUGUCCUGGAACUGGCUCUGUAGACUAGACCAGUCUGGCCUCAAACUCAGAGACCUGCCUGCCUCUGCCUUCUGAGAACUGGGAUUAAAGGUGUGAACCACCAUGCCUAGUUCAAUAUGAUGCUUUGGUAACAUAUACUUGUGUGAUCAUUGAAUCAGGGUAAUUAACAUAUUGUUAACUCAGAAAUUUACCCUUAUUUAUUUAUUUAUUUAUUUAUUUAUUUAUUUGAUCAUUGAUUUAGUGGACUACUGAGGGGGUGGGGAGUUGGGUGGGAGAUAAUUUGUGUUCAGUUUUAGAGUCCUGUGUUUACAGCAUCAAAAUAAAGGGUAAAACUGAAGAUCUAAAAAAAAAGUAAAAAAUUUUCUUUUUCUAUGUUUUUUUAAAAAAUAUAAUCAUAUAGUAUUUGCUAAAUAACUUCUUCUCAUGAGUACCUAAGGAAGACUCUAACAACAUGUAAUUGGAAAAACAGAUAUUUUUAGAAGUAUUAGAGUUAUUGGUCCUUGGAGAGUAAAGCACUGAGGUGAGUUAGGAGUUUGAAAUUUCUUUGAAUAAAGCAGGGUAAGACACGUCUUCUCAACACUAUGCGACCUGAGCGUCUUAGGUAAUCCAAGAUGGUGCUCUGAAGGAGACUGUGGAAUCCAUGGGAAGAAAUUACCACAGCACUGUAAUAAAGCUGCUCAUUGCCAUUCGUUGGGAGACGGUUUGGAAGAUUUUGGCUUUGGCCAAAAAGCCGAGGCUGAAUACUAAUUUUUCCUUCCUUGCAGUUAAUCUUUAAUUCUUUCAUGAAAAAGAAAUCUAAGUGAUUCAUUUUUUAAAAAGUUUAUUCAUUUAUUAUAUGUAUAUGAGUACACUAUAUAGCUGUCUUCAGACACACCAGAAGAGGGCAUUGGAUCCCAUUACAGAGAACUGUGAGCCAUCAUGUGCUUGCUGGGAAUUGAAUUUAGGACCUCUGGAAGAGCAGCCAGUGCUUUUAACUGCUGAUCCAUCUCUUUCGCCCCCUAAAUGAUUCAUUUUGUUGGCUGACAUACUAAUUAUUAUUUUUUAAAAGUACAUUUAUAAAUUUAUUCAUUUUAAAGAUGCAUUUGUGUAUAUGUGAACGUGUGCUAUGUGUGUAUGUCAGUGCUCGUGGAGGUCAUAAGAGUGUCAAUCUUCUGGGAGUUACAGGUGGUUGUGAGCCAUUUAAAAUGGAUGCUGGUAUCAAAACUCUGGCCUUAGAGAAUAUCUUACUCACUGAGCUAUCUUUUCAGCCCCUGUAAAUUAUUUUGUCUAGAAAAAUUUCCAGGGACUAAGAAAAUGUGAAUUAAAUAGACACUUUGUAGUUACAGUUCCUGGUGUAAGAUUAUGAGAGGUGAGUUACUCAAGGCUCAGAUAGCUCUUACAUAGGGUUUAGAACAUAAUACUUUAAAAUGUAAAUAUAAAUAGAUCUGUCAACUAUGAUCAAAAUGGACAGAGUUGAUAAAAAUGUAAGGUUACUUUGUAAGCAAAAUUUUAAAGAAUUAAAAUUCAUGUACCAGCAUUGAUACAUAGAAAGAAAUAACAUAAUAGAAUAAGUUGAAAGAGGAAGAAAAGUUGUAAAAGUAUCUCUUGGUAGGUAGGUAGCUUCUUGGGUGAAAUAUUUGCUUAAAGGAUAUUUCAGCAGUUAAGAGCACUUGCUGUUUUUGCAUAGGACCUAAUUUCAGUUCCCAAAACCUACCUGCUGGCUUUUUUUCUUUAUUAAAGAAUCUAAUUUUAUUUUUAUUAAUAUUUAUUUUUUACUUAUUCACUUUACAUGCUGCCUACUGACCCCUGACACUCACAAUCUUUCCCCAGUACUCCUGGACCUUUCUUCUCUGAGAUCAUGAGGGCCAGCUAUCUUAGGACCUUCCUUCUUCUACCAAAGCCAGGUUACCCUGUCCUGGGGAAAUGUGCUGAGGUUGCUGGUAAUGGACGCCUGCUGCUUGGCUUUCUUCUUGUUUCACUUUGCUGGCUUUGGGAAGUUCAUGUAGAAAUGUCCUUGAACUUGCUACUUCAUCCUGAUGGUCCAAAAGAAUCACUGGUUUUGUUAACAUUUUUUUUUAAAAAAAUUAGAUAUUUUCUUUAUUUACAUUUCAAAUGGUAUCCCCUUUCCUAGUUUCCUCUCUGAAAACCCCUAUCCCUUUCCCCCUCCCCUGCUCACCAACCCACCCACUCCCUCUUCCUGGCCCUGGCUGCCCCCUAUACUGGGACAUAUAACCUUCCCAGGGCCAAGGGCCUUUCCUCCUAUUGAUGACCGUAGGCAAUCCUCUGCUACAUAUGCAGCUAGAGCCAUGAGUCCUACCAUGUGUUUUCUUUGGUUGGUGGUUUAGUCCCAUCUCCCUACCUAUUCAAUAUAGUACUUGAAGCCCUAGCCAUAGCAAUUAGAAAACAAAAGGAGAUCAAAGGGAAUACAAAUUGGAAAGGAAGAAGUCAAAAUAUCACUAUUUUCAGAUGAUAUGAUAGUAUACAUAAGUGACCCCAAAAAUUCCACCAGAGAACUCCUAAACCUGAUAAACAACUUCAAUGAAAUAGCUGGAUAUAAAAUUAACUCAAACAAAUCAGUGGCCUUUCUCUAAACAAAGGAUAAACAGACUGAGAAAGAAAUUAGGGAAACAACACCUUUCACAGUAGUCACAAAUAAUAUAAAAUACCUUGGUGUGACUCUAACUAAGGAAGUAAAAGAUCUGUAUGACAAGAACUUCAAAUCUCUGAAGGAAGAAUUCGAAGAAGAUCUCAGAAGAUGGAAAGAUCUCCCAUGCUCAUGGAUUGACAGGAUUAAUAUAGAAAAAAAUGGCCUUCUUGCUGAAAGCAAUCUACAGAUUCAAUGCAAUCCCCAUCAAACUUCCAACUCAAUUCUUUACAGAGUUAGAAAGGUCAAUUUGCAAAUUCAUCUGGAAUAACAAAAAACCUAGGAUAGCAAAAACUAUUCUCAACAAUAAAAGAACCUUUGGUGGAAUCACCAUGCCUGACCUCAAGCUGUACUACAGAGCAAUUGUGAUAAAAACUGCAUGGUACUGGUACAGUGACAGACAGGUAGAUCAAUGGAAUAGAAUUGAAGACCCAGUAAUGAACCUACACAGCUAUGAUCACUUGAUAUUUGACAAAGGAGCUAAAACCGUCCAGUUGAAAAUACCAUUUUCAACAAAUGGUGCUGGCUUAACUGGUGGUCAGCAUGUAGAAGAAUGCAAAUCUAUCCAUUCUUAUCUCCUUGUACACAGCUCAAGUUUAAGUAAAUCAAGGACCUCCACAUAAAACCAGAGACACUGAAACUUAUAGAGGAGAAAGUGGGGAAGAGCCUCGGACAUGCUCGCUUAAAAUCAACUGUUACUACAAUUCCAAGGGAUGUGAUGCCCUCUUUUGGUCUCUUAAGGCUCCUGCUCAGUGCACAUAAAUUCAGGCCGGUACACACACACCCAUGCUCACACAGAGAAAUAAAAUAGAAAAUGCAGCUGUGUGGAUUAUUUAUGUUUUCAGCAUAUGUUUUCUAUACCACAGAUAACACCUCUAACCCUGUACAGCUGCGGUUUCCUAGAUGAAAGCGUGCUCUCCCGGUCAUUCUGGAGCUGCUUUUUUUUUUUUUUUAAUUCUUUUUGAUCAUGCAAAUUUCUCUUCAGUCCUGAGAGUCCUUGUCUGAAUGGCAUUAAAAAUUUUUGAAAUAUUACUAAUUGACCCCUUUAAAUUUUGCCAGUAAGUUUGUAGUAACAGGAUAUAUGAGUGUUUUGUUGCUGUUGCUGUUUUUCGGUGGUCCUGGAGUUUGAUUCCAAGGUGUUGCAUAUGCUAUGCAAAGCACAUGCUCUACCGGUCUCGGUUAAAAUCACAGUUGGCAGAUGGUGUUAUUCAGUUUGAUAUUUGCCAACUUUAAUAAGUGCUAUCAUAUUUUAUUUUUACUAUAAAUGUUUCAGUCUAGAAUGAUGAAAUGUUUUUGCAAGUCAUGUAAUAGUUUCCCUUGGGAUGGUAGAAGUCAUUUGCACACAGCAUACACACUUUCAUGAUAAAUGGAUGUACUGCUGAGGGUUUUUUAAAAAAUUUUAAUGUAUAUGUGUGUGCAUUUCUGUGAAUGUAUACCACAUGUGUGUGGGUACCUGCAGAGUCUAGAAGAAGGUUGUCUGAUCUUUUGGCUGGAGUUAGGUGGGUGGUAAAUCCCUUCCCACCUAAAUACCUGGAACAGAACUCAGGUUCUCUGCAAGAGCAGCAGGUACCCUCAAAUGCUGAGCCAUCUUUCAAGCCUCUGAAGAGUGUUUUUAUAUAAUUAGAUAACUGAAGCAAGAACCCCACAUCUCCCCCUCUUUCUUUCUCUCUAUCCCAAUAGUAAAGUCAUUGUUAUCUAGAACUCCCACAGAGAUAAUAAAAGAGUAAAAAUAGAAACUUAUUAGGAAAUACAUUUCUAUUUAUGAUAGCACAAAUACAAGUCAUGUGACCAGCCUUCAGGAACAGAGAGUACUUUUGUUUUGGAUUUCGACGUUUACUAGCUUCUCAAGAACACAUUUCUGCUACUUAACUGCUUUUUUGAUAGAAAGUUGGGUUUUCAAAAUGUGAUAUCUAUUAAUAAAUACAGCAUAGUUUCAUGUUCCAUUUGGGGAUUUUAUGAAAUGGAGAUGUUUUUAUUUUAUUAAAUUAUAUAUUGUUGAUAAUAUUAUCUUUCUUUCUCUUUUUUUCCCUUGUAUGCUAGGAAUCAAAUUCAGGUCUUGAAUGUACUAGGCAAGUUCUCUUCAUUGAGCUGUAUCCCUAGCCUUGAUAAUAUUCUUGGACUAAUUUGCCUUAAAAUAUAUUUUUGAUUUGGUUCUUUUGGAAGAGUUCUAGUUAUUAGUUUUUUUUUAAAUUUUGAGUUUAAAAUUUUCACUUUUUUCUGAGUAACAUAAUUUUCAUCCUAAGUAACAUAGAUUUGCAUAAGGAAAUAUUUUUAUUUUCUCUCUUUUACCUAUCUACUUAUUUACUUACUUAUACUUUUUAUUGAUUCUUUGUGAGUUUUAUAUCAUGUACCACUGUCCCACCAUCUCCCCAUCCCUUUGUAUCUGCCCUCUGUCCUUACAAUCUCUCCAUCAAAAGAAAAUUAAAAAACAACAAUAAAAACAAACUAAACAAAGCAUAGCAAACAUCUUAUUGUGGCAGUUGUAGUGUGUCACAGUGUGUUACACUGUAUACAUUUUCAUUCACACACGGUUACUUGCAAAUAUUGCAGUGAGUCAUCAGUCUGGUUCUAAGCAUCUGGUUUUUGCUAUAUCGUUAAUCCUGGAUCCUCACUGGGAUUCCUCUCAGGUAUCUUGUUUCCUGUGUCAUGAAGAUUCUGCAGCUUUGGAUCUGCAGGACUGCCUCUUUUACACACUCCAGCAAUUCAUAGUUGAGGUAGAUUUGGGAGUGGGCCAACUCAAUGCCCUGGAUGUAGGCCUGGGUGGUAGCUGAGCUGCUCAAUACCCCAGCUCUCCCACACCAGCACCACCAGGGCAAGCUGUCCAGCACUGUCCCAGCUAGCUCACCCAAUGUAGCAGUCUGCUAGGCACUUGUCGACUCUCCAGCUCCUUGGGGUCAGCUCUCUGGACUGCCUAAGGUGAGAGGGGUCAAGUGUAUCCCUCCUCCCCUGCUCACACCCUGCACAGGCAGGUGGCAGGGCGAGCUUUUCUGAGAUCACACCUUUGGGGCUGGCUUACUAAUUAUCACCCCCUCCAGGCCAGCUCUACUGUGUUGCCCAGGUGAGGUGCCAGGCCCACAUCAGUACUGCAGCUGAUGAGGGACAGGGGCAGAUCCAGCUCUCCUGCUCUCAUGACCCUGAUUCCAUGUGCACAUGGCAAGGGACAAGGUAGGGGGAACACAUCACUUCUCAUCACAACACCUCACUAGGUGAGUGGCAGGGCUGGCUCUCCCAAGCUCACGCCUCCUGGGGCAGUUCACUAUUGAGUCCCAGCCACCAGAGUCAGCUCUGCUGUGCUGCCCAGGCCAGGUGUAGGACCUGCUCUCCCAAGUGCUGUGGGUGAGAGGUGUGCUCAGCACACCCACCGAGGGGCAGGGCCAGCCCUGCACAGCCCUUGGACAUCUAUGUGAUCCCAAGUGGCUGCCCAGACCAGGGACACCUGCAUGGUCUUCAGUGGUAAUCUGAACCACAGGUACUAACACAGACCCCGGCUGCUUCAUGGCCACGGACCCGGAUAUGGUCCUCAGUGGCGGCAUGGACUGGUACUUUACCAUGGCAUCAGGUGGCGGGCCAGGAUACUCACAACAGGCUUUUUUCUCGCUGCUUGGUGUCUCCAGGUCCUCCUCUCUUCAUAAUGAUCAGCUGUCCCUCUUCUUCUCUUCCAUCUGUCCACCACAUAUCUUGGACAUUGUAGUACCCCUGCUUCAGGUAGCCCACAUAACUGGUGGGCCUCUGGGUAUCUUCCACCCAUCUGUGCCUUGAGGCGUGGAGGUAGGCAGGCCUCUGGGUGUUGUUCCCUGUGUGGCAUGGUGGCAGGUGGGUCUCCAGGUGCCCUCUGCCUGCCUGUGCUGAAAAAAGAAUCUCCAGGCAUUCAUUUAUUAAAUCAAUUUUUUGUUGUUGUUGUUUUGUUUUGCUUUUUUGAGACAGGGUUUCUCUGUGUAGCCCUGGCUGUCCUAGAACUCAACUUUGUAGACCAGGCUGGCCUCAAACUUAGAAAUCUGCCUGCUUCUGCCUCUGCCUCUCAAGUGCUGGGAUUAAAGGCGUGGGCCACCACUGCCCCGGUAAAUCAAUGUUUUUUUUUUAAAUACCUUUCUUGUCCCAAGAUGGUAAACUAAGUCACAUAAACUAUUUUAAAUGGAGCACUGUUUUUGAGAUGCUGAAAAAACCCACUUGGGAUUUCAGCUAAAUAAAAGUUUUGUUUAGCACCGUCAGUGUUCUUGUUCUAUUGGCUCUAAGGUAUCCUGGUAAGCCAUGCCAGUGCGGUCACCGUUCAUGCAGAGCUGUGUUACUAUAGGGUUUCAAAUGACAAAAGCAAUGCAACCCAGAACAAAAGCACCAUGAUUCCAGCUCAUGACAUGUGCUAUAAUUGAUGUUGGAAAAACUGACUGUUGACAGAGUCUUCAGGAUAGACACUCUGAGGAAGUAACAUCGAUAUGUGAGUGUGUAGACUGGACCAGUUGCUUGGACAAAUAGAAUAAUGUGUUCCAGUGGAACAAAUGAGUGCCGGAUCACACUGAUAGUGCUAGACUAGUAAGGAGAUUUGUACUUUACCCAAAAUGCAAUAAGAAGCCAAGAAAUGAGUUUAUAGGGAUUGGAGAGCGAGCUCAAGCUGCUUAAGCGCACUUGCUGCUCAUAGAGAAGACAUACACCCGGCUUAUAAAUAACUGCUAGUAACUGCAGCUCCAGAGUGUUUCCUAUCUUCUUGGCUCCCAUGUGCAUAUACAGACAUAGGCCUGUACAUAUAAAUAAAAAGUAAAAUACAUUUUAAGAAAGAAAUGAUAGUGUUAUCAUCUAAUUUAUUCUAAAAAUCUAGAUAAGAAAGGGAAGACUAGUAAUGAGGUAAGAAAUGUUGGAGACCUGACCUAGUGAGGACGGUAGAGACCAGAAGUCAAUAGAUUUGAAAUAUAGUCAGGAAAGAAAUGUGAGGACUGUAAUUCCACCACUUAGGGAAGCUGAUAUGGAAGGACUAUAGGUUUGAGGACAGCCUGUCCUAUAGGUGAGACCUUGUUUUUAAGGUAGUUGAGGAGACAACUCAGUGGCUAAGAGGGUUUGCUGUGCAUACAUAAGGACUGACCUGAGUUUGAAUCCUUAGCAGCCAAGUAAAAAGGUAAAAAAGUAAAAAGCACGACAGUGCUCUGACCCAGAGUUAAGGGGUGGGACUGGGGAGGAGGAUCCUGGGAGCUCCAGCCAGAUUAGCCAAAAGGAUAAGCUUCAGGCUCAGCAAGAGCCCAGCUAAGGCCAGUAAGGGAAAGGGUGCUAGAAGUGGGUGCCCAGGGUUCUGCUUGUGGGCACAUGCAGGCACAGGUCUCUAUAUUUACAUGUGGGCCCCUCCCUGCCACAUGACCACACAGUUGGGAUUGAUUAUUAAAUAACUGGAAGGAAGCAAACAUCAUUGAUGUCUGUAUUAUACUUUGUUAAUUUUAUACUCAGUAAAUAAAAAUAUUCAAUGAACACUGUAUAUCUACUAACUUGGUUUUUAUUUUCUUUGGUUUCAUAGUGAAGAUUUUAAAAUGCAGUUUUAGAGGUAAAAUUAGUGUGGCUGGAAUGGACAUACAGGAACACUGAUAAAGAAGACAUCCCCGAAAAUACAGCAUGAAUGAAUAAAAUUCAAAUUAUGGAAACCAUUCAUUGCUAAAAGACCCUGUCUGUCUUGAACAUUUAAUACGUAAAUGACUUAAAGAAUAUGUGCUCAGACAUUUUUUAUAUUUUCUGUUUUCCUGAGAAUCUGAGUUUCUAUCUGAUAUCAUUUUCUUUCAACUUAAGACUCUGUUAACAAUUUCGUGUAGGUCUGCAACUUGUUGUAGGUCUACCCUCAGACUUUUUUUUUUUAACUUUCUCUCUUUUUCAUAUUUAACAAUUUUAUCAAUUUACUUAUUGACUAUUGGCAGUGACUUUUUGGUGUUGUUGGUUUUUCAAUACAGGUUUGUUGUUGCUGUUUUGUAGCUUUGAUUGUCUUAGGACUGGUUCUGUAGAUCAGGCUGGCCUUGAACUCAGAGAGAUCCAUGCUGGGAUUAAAAGUGUGCAUCACGACCACUUGGCAGUUUAGUCUCUCUUAAACUAAGCUCACCAGUGAAUCUUAAAAUUUUAGACAGUGUCAUGUUUUGGUUCUGUUUUUCUAUUUUCUUAUGUUUUGCUUUCAUUCAAGUUUUCAUUUUAUUAUUUUGGUAGCAGUGUAUAGAAUAUGGAUAAAUGGGACACAGGAAAACCAAAUCAGGCAAGAAAUCAUGAAGUUCUAACGGGCGAUACAUGAAUGUAUAUACGUAUAUGUAUGUAUAUCUAUAUAUCUAUAUCUAUAUGUAUUAUUUAUUAUGUGAGUGCAUGCACAUAUAAGUAUAGGUGCCUAUGGAUGCCAGAAGGAGUGUGUCAGAACUCCUGGAGCUAGAGUCAUACAUAGUUGUAAGCUACCCAAUAUGGGUGCUGGGAACUGAACUGAACAUAUAUCUUUUAAAGAUCUAUUCUUGCCAUAUAGUCUAUAAUAGCCUCAAACUUAGUGCAUAGCUAACAUGGUCUUGAAUUUGCUAUUUUCCUGCCCAAGCCUCCUGGGUGAUAAUGCAUCUGAUAUUCUUUUCUACUUCUUAAUCCCUUUAAAUGUUCUGAUUCUGAGCUAUUUUUUUUUCUACUGUUAUUUUUAUCACCUCUGGUUAGACACUGUAUUACGGACUAAUUCUAUGACUAGAAAAAAAAUCACUCAAUUCUUUUCUAGAGGAUAUAUCAUACAAGAAUAGGCAAUUUCUAAUUACGGUCUUGUUUGUUUGUUUGUUUGUUCUGUUUGUUUUUCAAGAUAAGGCUUUUCUAGGUUGCUCUGGCAGUUCUGGAAUUUGCUUUGUAGACAAGACUGGCCUCAAACUCAGUGAUUUGAACAACCCCCACCCCCUGUCGCCAGAGUGCUAGGACUAAAGGCAUGCACCACCAUGCCCCAUAAUUACAGUCUUUAAAAGUUGAAAAUCAGCGAGGUUAAAGAAGGAAUAGACGUUUUGUUUGUUAUUCCCCUUGUCCCAAAUCCACAUGUUUUAGAGCUUUCUAGGUUUUGUUAGAGAUAAUAUAACUGAAUUUUUCCUGCCUUGUCGAUUUUGAGGAAAGUAUUAUUGCAGCAUAAGAAAGUUACAACCUUGACUUCAGGGCACAAGGUGAUAGGAAAUCUGUCCUUCCUUCCUUCCUUCCUUCCUUCCUUCCUUCCUUCCUUCCUUCCUUCCUUCCUUCUUUCCUUCCUUCCUUCCUUCCUUUCUUAGAUUUAUUUAUUAUUAUACGUAAGUACACUGUAGCUGUCUUCAGACGUGCCAGAAGAGGAUGUAAGAUCUCAUCAUGGGUGGUUGUGAGCCACCAUGUGGUUGCUGGGAUUUGAACUCUGUACCUUUGGAAGAGCAGUCAGUGCUCUUACCCACUGAACCAUCUCGCCAGGCCCAGGAAACAUUUCUAAAAGAAGUUGACACUUGAAUUGACUCUUGUAAAAUCUCUAAGAGUUAACUUGGUGUUGGGAAGCUAGGAUAUGGGUAAAGAGGAGAGUUUAUAAAAGGGACAAUAUAUUCAAAGGUGAGUUAAUGACAGUUGGGGGAGCUGUAAACAUAGUUUUGAAUGUAGAACUUUGGAAGCAUAGAAGAUAAUUAGGUUCACAUUAUUAGGAAGUCUAUCUUGAGUAUGAUGAGAAAUUAGUUAACUGGAAUAACAUGAAUUACAAAUUAUAGUAGUGUUUGGGGAAAAUAAUUUGGAAGGGUUGACAGGGAAUUCCAGAAGAGUAUAAUAGGGAGACAUAGUAAUUCAUGUAAGAAAUGGUAAGGAAAUUUUAUAGUUCAAAAUGAUAAUGCAUUUAUAGUUGCUGCUGGUUCCCGAAGGCCGGAAGGUCAUGCUAGCAUGGACGGAGAGAGCAGUGGAAUGGCUGUGAGUUAGCAGCUUGUGUGGUGCUGUCCUGAUGGUGGCGGUUCUCGGGCAUAUGCUCACAGCAGCUUCCAGCAUUGGUGGUGGUAAUUUUUAUGAUUUUGGCAGAGACAAGUGUUUCUGUGGAGUUGUUUCUUAGAAGUUACUCUGGGGCCCUCCUCUUUGCUUUUCUUAGUGAACUUGUGAGCUUGUAAGUUUUUUGUAGUGAGUUCACUUUUGCUUAGGUUAUUUACACUGGAUCUGAUCCUGUGUUAAUACUCUUUUUUUUCAAAAAAUUUUUAUUAGAUAUUUUUGUCAUUUACAUUUCAAAUGCUAUCCCAAAAGUCCUCUAUACCCUCCCCCCGCCCUGCUCCCCUACCCACUCACUCCCACUUCUUGGCCCUGGCGUUCCCCUGUACUGAGGCAUAUAAAGUUUGCAAGACCAAGGGGCCUCUCUUCCCAGUGAUGGCCAACUAGGCCAUCUUCUGCUACAUAUGCAGCUAGAGACAAGAGCUCAGGGGUACUGGUUAGUUCAUAUUGUUGUUCCUCCUAUAGGGUUGCAGACCCCUUUAGCUCCUUGGGUACUUUCUCUAGCUCCUCCAUUGGAGGACCUGUGUUCUAUCCUAUGGAUGACUGUGAGCAUCCACUUCUGUAGCAAGAUUUUGCUGAAAGGACCCUGAUAUAUCUGUCUCCUGUUACAUUUUGCCAGUGUUAAUACUCUUUUUUUGUGUGUGUGUGUGUGUGUGUGUGUGUGUGUGUGUGUGUGUGUGUUAAUACUCUUAACUGGUCCUAACCAAUGCUGAUUUAUGGGCUACAGAUGGGUCACUGGUAAUUCGCCUUUGGCUCUUAGUGGUAAAUGUUACUUAAGUUUUCAUCUGUGGUCACCUGAAAUAAAGUACUGGCUAAAGCAAAGCUUCGGUGGACUGAGUAGUGGUAUAUUUUGGGAGAUACAGGAUUAUAAGGAUUGUGGUUUUUAACUCUACAGCAGAGUUUAAAAGUGAUUUUUCUCUAAGAUAUUUAGAAAUCUUUGGUGACAGUUUUGGUUAUCAUCAUGGAGGGGAGAGAGUAUAAUUGGAUCUAGUGUAUAGAGAACCAGGAUGUUGCUAGUAAUACUGCUUCCUUUUCUCUCUCACAGCAAUUAUCUGACCCAGACUGUCAGUAGUACUGAGUCUGAGAAACUCUGGUUUAAAGAAAACCACUUUCUUUAAAAGGGUCACAGUUUUAAAUCAUGGCUGGUUAUUGUUAGAGAACUAAGGAAUUCUGUCUUUAGCCUAAAACUAUCUUUUAUAUCAUAUAAGUCUUGUAACUAUCAAGUUCAGAGUUAGACUGAAGUUACUCAACUAUAAUAUAGAAUGAGCUCAGAAAUUUGCCAGACUUUUUAGAUUUAUAAGGUGGGUCACCUUAUAAAUAAAAAAAGAGUGAGAUUUCAAGAAUUGGAUUGCUAGGAAUUUGGAAUAUUUGGAAGACUUUAGGUUUCUUUUGAGACAGUGUCUUAUAGUAGCCAAAGCUAUCCUCAGGCUCACUAUAUAAAUCAAUGUUGGGCUUGAAUUCUUGACACUCCCUACUUCCUGCCUCCACCUUCCAAGUGCUAAGGUUAUAGGUGAAUACUACACCUGGCUAACUAGGUAUUCUGAAUCUGUAAUUGUUUUUAUUACUCCUUGCCUGCUUUUCUUACUUGAUUCUGUUGCUGUGGCAAAUGUCAUGGACAAAAGCUACUUAGGAGAGGAAAGGCUUAUUUCAGUUUACACUUCCCAGUAAUAGUUCCUCACUAAGGGAAAUUGGGAUGGGAACUAUGAAGGAUGGCUGCUUAAUGGCUUAUUUAUUGAUCCUGCCUAGCUAGUUUUUCCCAGAACCACCCGCAUAGGAAUGAUGCUGCCCAUAGUGGACUAGUCUCUCUCACAUCAAUCAUAAAUCAAGACAGUCUCUCACAGACUCUGUCAUAGGCUGGUCUGAUCAAGACAGCUCUUUAAUUGACAUUCCCUCCUUCUAGGUGACACUAAAUUGUGUCAGGGGACCAGCAGAAGCAACAUCCUAUCUUCCAUAACUGAAAGAGUGGGUUCGCUUUGCCUAAAGGUGCCAUAGUGGCCUCACACCUCCCCCACUUUCUUCACAAUAUGGUCUUGAUAUGUAUACAGCCCAACUUGGCCUCAGAGUCACUGUGUAGCUCAGCCUGGCUUUGAACUUGUGAUUCUCUUGUUUUAGUUUGCCAAGUACUGAAAUUAUAGAUGUCUACCAUCACAUUUGGCAUGGCCUUGCUUUUUAAAAUCACAGCCAUUUCAUUGUCACUCCACCUCUUGGCUUUCAGAGCAGCUAAAGUCAGUCUCAUUGAUGAAAGACAAGUUUUAUGUAUUGCAUAUAAUUUUACUAAUUUAUAUUAGCAGACACCCCCAGGAAAUAUAUAUAAAAGGAGGAAUCUGAUUUUAUUGGGUGAAUUUAUUAAUACAGGCUACCCUAUACAGUUUCAGAUUUAGUACUUAUUCAAACAGUUCAAACUGUUUCUAAUUGUCUGCUUGUUUGUUUGACAGACAAUUUCACUCUUGAUCUACACUGAAUAAAAUUGAGAUACCACCUGGGUAUCGUGGUACAUGCCAAUAAUACUGGGUAUGGUGGUACAUGCCUAUAAUACUGGGUAUGGUGGCACAUGCCAAUAAUCUCAGCAUACAGGAAACUAAGACAGAAGGAUCACAUGUUUGAGGCAAGCCUAGGUUACAUAGCAUGACUGUUGUCUCAGGAAACAAAUGGGGAGUUGAAUAGAUAGACUGCUUCUAGCAUGGCUGAUACCUGAGACUUGAUCCCCAGUGCCACAUAAGCCAUACAUAGUGGCACAUAUAUGCAGUCUCAGCACUUUGGAGGUAUAGGAGGAUUAUAAAUUCAAGUUUAUCCUAGGCAACAUACUAUGAUGGAGGUUAGUUUGGAAUGCAUGAGAUCCUGUCUCAAAACAUAUAAGGAAACAGAGCAAAUACUGAAAUGGAAGACUUGUUGGGUUAGGAAAGUCGUAGGCUAGAAUUAUGUGAAACUGGCUUCCUUAGUUUCUGGCCAUAGAGCCAUAUUUACCCAUACUGAAUGAAAGAUGCUUAGUGUAAUUCUGUCAUCUAUCACAAAUGUUCUCUGCUACUUUUAAGAAGGUACAGUUGUGAGGGAACUACUGUCAUCCUUAAAAAGUGCUGUUGGGAUUGUCUUUGGCCUUGGGGUGAGUGUGAAAAAUUCUGCUACGAAAUUCGCCAGCUGUAUUCAAUUGAAUCCUGCAAUAUAAGCAAGGCAGGAAUAAGUUACCUGGUGCACAAAUGGUCAGAGUUCUGAGAACUGACAUGGAAGGGAAGCUCUCUAAGGCCUUAUUUGGUUGGAUAACAGAGUACAGAUAUAACCAGAACACCUCAAGUUUGAAGACUAUAGGCUUUUUGUCACUGUGAUGGAAUUACCCAGCUUUGUGUCUUGUUAUUACUUCACAGAUCUAGAACUCCUUGAAGAAAGAAGACAAAGUACUUUAUCUUAAGGAGAGACUGUUGAGAUAUUACAAUUAAGUAAAUCAGUUUUCUUUAUCUCUUUGUGUGAACAAAGGGACUUUUGUUCACACAAGAAAAAUACUUAAACCUCUCAAAGAUUAUUAGUAUUGGAACUAAUCCUAUUUCUUAGUGACUAAGGAUCAAUGUGUUCCAGCAAUAGGCUGAGAGCAACAGUAGUCAGAUUCGGACUGCAGCUUGGCCUUGGCUUUUCGCAGUAGCCUAAUGGAGCCAUAAAUUCAUUAUAUAAAUUAAAGAUUCUUAGUACAUACUUAGAAUAGAUAUAUUUAAAAGCUGAGAGAAUCUCUCAGUUGUCUUCUAUACUUAUGGAUUAAGAGUCACUGUGGUCUGAAGAGUAAAGUGUUAACACUCUGGUGUUUCAUUUUACACCCUGAAUCACAGAAAUCAAUCCUGUGUUGAAGAUGUGAAAGGUUUAAAUUUCAUUUAACUUUUGCUUUGCUAAUACAGAAAAUACAUUUCUUUACCCUGCCCCGAUCUGCCCCCUAUCUUCUCACCCCCCACUCCAAGCCCCACCCACUCCUGACUUAUUUAUUUAUUUUAUGUAUAUUAGUUCACCAUUGCUCUCUUCAGAUACCAGAAGAAGGCAUCCGAUCCCAUUACAGAUGGUUGUGAGCCACCAUGUGGUUGCUGAGAAUUGAACUCAGGACCUCUGGAAGAGCAGCCGAUGCUCUUAACUGCUGAACCAUCUCUCCAAUCCUAGAAGAUACGUUUUUGUAGAGACUUUUAAACUUGUACUACUCCUGUUGCUGGUUCCACAUAUAACCUCUUGGCUAGAAAUAGAUUCUAGUACCUGGUAAUCGGAUCAAGCAUAUUAAUUAACAGAGUCUCAGAAAUAGCCAACAGUGUACUACAUCAACACUAUAUUGUCUCCAUGGCUAGAGUAGCUUUUUGAUUCUUUGCCAUAAUUUAAUCUAUAGGAAUUUUGUUUGUUCACCAUCCAGUAGUUCCAUACAGUGGUUCCCUGUAGAAUGACAUCAUGUUGAUGCAUAAGACUUUCUGACAGAAAAUCAAUAAGCACUUAGAUCUUUUGUAAAGACAUAGCUGACAGUAGGACAUACAUUCCAUAAAAAAAUGUAAGAACAUUACACCUCAGUGAUUUUACUUUUUUGAGGUUACAAUGUGUUGUGCCCACCUUAGCCGGCAAGGAAGACACAACACGGUUGGAUUCUUCUCAACAGCCUUUAUUGCAGGAACGCCUUCAUGCUGCUACCGGAACCCCCUCCCCCCUGCUACGGGGAACCCCCCUGCUACAUGGACCCCGGGUACCCAGGAGGUCUGCUUAUAUACUCUCAGCUCCCAUCCACUCACGGCAGGCCACGUCACCUCACCAGGCACGCAGCUUCAGCCAAUCAGGGCAGCAGGGUCAUGUCUCCACCAAAUAUGGACUUGUUUACACUGCCAGCAUCAUGGUGCACCUGCGCAGCUCUCAGGAUGGUCGUGGCUAUUUUCAGGUGUAUGAGGAAGUCAGGUGCAAGUCAUAAGACUUAGCUGCAGUCCUGGGCACCAUCUUGAGACUGCUGCCACACCCACUCCUCACAACAAUGUUUUGGGUUAUGAUAAGAUAUAUUUCUGAAGUAUAAACUACUUUAUCUUACUUAUAUUUCCUAAUGUCCAGAUAGUAAUUGGCUGGUUUUGUUAGCUUCAGAGUUAGCAUAUUAAAGUAUAUCACUUUAACCACUUUACUGAUAAUCCACAAAGCUACCAUUGGGUUGCUACAUGACAGGCUCUGAUAGGAGAGUAGCAGUUUUGAGCUUAUUCAUUUUGGAGAUAAUUUCUUUGAAAAGAAUUAUUAGCUUGAUGUUAUACCUAAAGAGAACAAAAGUCCAAAUACUGCAUAUGAGUGAUAGGAACUACCCAUGCAGGACAAAGUUGACAGCUUCUGCUGUCACAUAGAAAUGAUACACAUGGGACUGAGCAAAAUGUGAGGGGUUGAGAGCUCACGUACAUUGAAUAAGCAAGAAGGCCUGUCUGCACUGCUAGUCCUCUUGCACUCCACCUCCCGUGGCUUUAUGUCUGAAGAGAUCACUAUGUACUUGGCUAAUGGUUCUGUAUGCUGUGUUGACACUUGCCAACUUAAGAUAAGAUUCUGAUAGAAAUUGCCGAGUGCCUCCUAAUAAUCUAUUCUUUUAUCUUUAGACCCAAAGCUUUUUACCCCUCCAACACAGCUGUCAGUCAACCAAUAGACUUCCUUGGAAGUGACUGUGAUCAUAUGACUGGGCUUAGAUCUGUGAUAUCUGUAAGCAAUUUGCCUUUCCAGAAAAUUUCUUAAGUAAUAAUUGUCUUCUCAGUUUCUACAUGAAACAAAGCUAGGCCUGGACAUGUAGAGGUUAUAGGAGGGGGGAUUGUAAAUUCUAGGCUAGCCUGGGCAACUUGUGAAAUCCUUGGUUAAGCCACUCCCAAACCUCCUAACACACUCCCCUUUGAUAUUCCUGAGUUAUUAUUUACUAAAACCCAUAUUCCAUCUUGGCUGCCCUGGACCCAGACCUGCAGCCCUCUCUGGCUGAGUUCCCCAACAUCUACAUAGUUACUAUGUUCUCUUUUCGGCACACCUCAGGCCAGGCUUCUACUCUUUUCCUGGCAUGGUGGCUAUCUCUCUUCCUGCUCCUUCCUUAGUCCCUUGCCUGGGAAUCCUAAAGUGCUGGCUCUGUCUCCCUACCCAGCCUUUGGCUGCCGACAACUUUAUUAACCAAUCAAAACCAAGUAGGGGCGGGGUCCCUCAGCAUCUUAUGUCCGGGAUGUGCAGAUUCUUGUGCAGUUUGGGGACCUAAUUAACAUAAUACAUACAGCGUGAGACCAAAUACGUAACAGUAGAGGAUUAGAAGUGCAAGGUCAUCUUAGACUAUGUAGGGAGGUUGGAGGCAAGCCUGGCUACUUGGGCCUCUUGUGGAGGAGGAGGAAGAAGAAGAGGAGGAGGAAGAGGAGGAGGAGGAAGAGGAGGAGGAGGAGAAAAGAGAAAGAAAAAGAAAAGGGAUUAGUUUUGAGACAAGAUUUUUGUUGGCUCUAUUUAAAUAUUUGUUGCUGAAUACAUAUUCUGUGGAUUAAUGGCCAGAUUUAUCCAAUAUGGCUCAAGAAGGAAGAUUGUGACCAGAAGAUAGAUAUUAGUUUAAAAGAAUUUUCCUCCCAUGAAAUGAAAUUAAAUGCCUACUACUGUAAUAAAACAUGAGUCUGAAAGUUGGGGGUAGUAGUGGCAGCAGUAACACACACCAUUAAUUCCAGCUCUUGGGCAACAGAAGCAGGUGGAUCUCUGAGUUCAAGGCCAGCCUGGUCUACAGAGUGAGUUCUAGGAUAGUCAGGGCUACACAGAGAAACCCUGUGUCGAAAAACCAAAAAGGAAAAAAAGAAAGUCUGGAAAGGUAGUUCCAUGGUUAAGAACACUGGCUGUUCUUCCAGAUUCCCCAGGUUCAAUUCCCAGCACCCACAUGGUGGCUUACAACCAUCUGUGACCUCAGUUUCAGGAUAUCCACUGUCCUCUUCUAGACUCCAUUGGUAUUGGUACCAGGUUUGUGUACCUACAUAGACAUAUAUGUAGGAAAAACACCCAUACACAUAAAAUUAGAAAACAGUAUUAACAAAUAAUCUUCUCAAGAAGCUGUAUCAAAUUACUAUAAGUAUAAACCUCACAUAUAUUGUAAAUUUAAUAUUGUAAAAUUGGGAAUUUUAAAACAACAGGGAUUCAGUUUCUUAGAGUUUUAAAGGCUUAGGGAUCAAAGUUAAGAUCUAAGUAAGGUUAGAUUCUUCCAGAGAACUGAGGGGAGAGUCAGUUCCAUGUGCAAAUCCUGCCUUGGAACAUGGCUACUGGGAGGCCUUGGCAGUUUUUGGCUUGUAGUUUUAUCAUUCCAGUCUUUGCUUUUCAUCUUCAUGUGGCAUUUCCCCCAUGUUUGUAUGUGUUUCUGAUUUUUCUUCUUAUGACACCAGUCAUUGGAGUUGGGUCCACUCUAAUCCAGCAUGACAUCCUUUUAACUAAUUAUAUGUGCAAAGACAUUGUUUUCAAAUAAUGUUUGUUCUCAGUAUUUAGGUAAUUGUGGAUAGAUAAUUCAACCUAGUAUACCAAACAACAAAAUACAUGCUGUGUAUAUUCUGGGAGUCUAAAGUUAUUCAAAUUAAUCUAAACAUACCUACCUUGUAAUUAUAAUACAAAAGGUACAUAUGGAAAAACACUAGGGACGGGGGUGGGGGGAGAGAAAUAUACUCCUUAAGCUUUAAUGGCCAGGGUUCUCUUUCUGGUUUAUAUUCAUUUAUAUUCAGUGCCACUUACUGAACUACUAUGGUCAUUUGCAACUUGGAACUAUCAUAAUAAAGCCUACUAUGAGUGUGUAUAUUUGUUUUUUCAUUUCUUUUGAGUGAUAUAGCUGUAUCACACAGUAUAUAUAUGAUUAGCUUAAAAAUUCUUCUUCGAAGUAUGACAGACAUACUGAACAAUACCAUAUCACAAUACUUGGUGAAUUUUGCUAAGUGAACAUACUUAUGUAAUCAGAGUACAGAUGUAGAAACACAACAUUAACCAACACAUUAGAAACCUCUCACCCCUUCCAAUCAUUAGCAUCCACUGACAGAUUAUUUUAGCAAUUUUUUUCUAGUAGAAUAUAAUAAUUUUUCUUCUUCAACAUAGGGGUGGGAGCAUAUUCUCCUUUGUCUUGUGCAAGGAUAUCAUUAUUUAAAUUUAUUGUAUAGGAAAUAAGAAACUUCUGUUUAGUCGGCUGAACAAAUUGAUGACCUAACAGAUUCAGUUUCUAGUACACAGAACAAACAACCAA